Vicugna pacos (alpaca) is the source of this 5147-nucleotide non-coding RNA. Lineage: Eukaryota; Metazoa; Chordata; Mammalia; Artiodactyla; Camelidae. The record is from RefSeq and is a predicted model, not a curated record.
GGGAGGGAGAGUCUGGGGCCCGGAGAGGGACGGUGCAGGAUCAGGGAAAGCAGCCACGAGCAACCUGGAAUUUCUAUCUUUAGACCGAACCAAAGGAGCAGGGCGCCGGACCCGGAGAAGAAGCGGCGACCUAUUUACUUCUCCUUGUAAAAAAGUCCUCCAAGAGUGCUGUGGCCACUGCAGCGUGGAGGAGUCUCUUGUCUACCUCACUCUGCAGGGGUCAUAGGAAUUUUAUAAUUUAUUUGACAUCAAUUUGUGAAUGGGCAGACUGGGACUAGAACCUGUCCCUCCUGGAAUUCUGGAAACCUUUGCAGUGAUCAAGGGCUGCAGACAACAAAGAACAGAAAGCACUCCAGACAGAGGUUCACCUUGAGAAAAGAGUAGACUGUCCUAGUGACCCGGUGACGUACCUGUGCUGCUGGGAUAAGGGUCAGCUAUGUGAGGCUGAACAAAAAAGAACUGUCUCCUUGGCGCUCAAGAAUAUGCUGGAUAGCUGGGAAGGAGAAAGAAGAAGCAUCAUGCCGAAAAGCACAGAAGUCUGCAUGUUUAUAUUGUUAAUCUGAGGAUGGCAGAUCAUCCAGUGUGCCUGCCUGCAAAAUGACGUGUGGGAAAGAGAGAUGGAUGAAGACCCAAGUGAUGAACUAUGAAGACCCAGGAGGCCAGGCUCAGGGGUCCUUGCUUUAUGGAAAGGAUAAGAUGUAAAAAGAAAAGUGGUCAAGAAAAUUUAUCACUGAAGCUCUCUCUCACUGACCCACGUGCUUUGGAGUAGCUAUUUUCCUGAGUCGUUGUCCAGUGCCCUGCGGGCCGGUGGGAGCCGUGCUCGGAAGCAGUCACAUUGUCAUGGUGAGACAGACCCUCCUUGAGGGUAAUCCAGGAGCAGCCCUCGCUAAGAUGGAGAGACCUUCCUGGAGACAUCUGUCUCUUGAUGCGAACGGACCAUUUCUCUUCUCAGCUGGAGUCCAAUCUAAUAUAAGUGGUUUUAAUAAUGGGGAAAGGGAGCAUAUGUAACCCUCACACAUUUGGAUGAUCUUUGCCAGGUCUUCAGCUCUGAGCAGAAUAGCAGCUUAAGCCAAAGGUAACUGAAACUGACUUGUCCUAGAGGGCACAGCCGAAAGAGACGUUUUACUGCUCCUGAGCUCUCUUGGGGUGACCUUUCCUGUCCUUACUUAAUCAUGCAAGGCUGGCUUUUUUUUGAACCUGUGAGCUACCCAGAAUCUUUCCAAUAAGUUCUUUUGUUUACCUAAGGUGGCCAGAGAUGCUUAUAAGAAAAGAGUGUCACACGGUUCUUUCCAUUUGGAAUGCCUUCCCUCCACCCAACUCUAUUUCCAGCUUCGCUCCCUACAUCUAGCCCAUUUUACUUUCUUGACUCAAUGAGAUGGUCUACUUUUUCUCCCUUAGAGUUCUUCCUUGCUGGUUGCCUGGUUGGCAAAUCAGAAAUUGCUCUAAUUUACCACAGUGAACUUUCAACGUCAGAGCUAUAGUUAGAUUUUUCUCUCCUGGUAUCUCUGCUAGCCCGAUGUGAUGAUUAAAUCUAGGAAACCAGAACUCACCGUUCUCUAUGCUGAUGUAGACGGCUGUCUUUAACCUUUGGUAAACCCAUAAAUUAUGCAAAAAGCUAAAGAAAAGUUAGAGCAAUGUUAAAUUGUUCGGUUUCAGGGUGGUGUAUCAAAAAUUGAUUGUCACAGCAAUUCUCCCUAAUAAACAGCAACAGUCCGACAUGUGGGAUACGACAAGAGUUUAUUCAGCUUCCGGGUCUGCAGGGUCAGCCAGUCAGGCUUGGCUUGGGCUCAUCUCAUGUGUUUACUGUCAGCUGUAGGUUGAGAAGGGCUUUGCUGACCUUGGCUAGGCUCUCUUCCAAGUCUGGGUGGCUUCUGUGAUGGCCUUGAGUAGCAAGACUGGGCAGCUCAAGUCUGGUCCUUUUGUCUCUCAUUCUCCUCCUGAUGCAAGAGGGCUGAUCGGGGCAUGUCCUACUAAUAGCAGUGGCAGAAGUAAGCUCAGUCAUGCAAGGGCCUUUCAUGUCUUUGUUUGCGUCAUACUCAUCAUUAUCUUGUUGACCUAAGCAGGUCAAAUGGCUAAGCACAGAAUGGGAGAUCACUUUGAGUUACAGACAAAGGUUGUAGACACAGGGAGGAGAGACAAAGUGGGGACCUUACUACCUUUGAGCUAUCACAGGGGUAGCUUUUUUUUCCUUCUGCUUUUCUGCAUUUUAUGAUCUUUCUACAAAAAAAAAACAAAACCAGAACCCCACAGCUGGUUUAAUACAGAAAACUUUCCAAACUAGAGCAGAUUGAAAUUGAUGAAAACUUAGAAAUAAUUCUCUGUAUUAUAUACGUUUGGCUGUUCCAUUGGCUAAAUUACAUAGUCAUUUAUUAAAAUUUGCCAAAGCAGCUAACCUGCUUGGGAGCUCAGGUUAUUCUCACAUUGGAUAAGUACAUCUUUCCCUGUUUCCAUUCUCUGUGGCUAGAGCUGACAAUUAAAUGCUGAAAUUUAUUUCUCUUGUAGAUUUGAAUGUACAAGUAAUACUCUGGCUAGGAUUAAGUGCUGUGAGCUGUCUUGCCAGGGACUGAACCCAAUGAACUUCUCUAUUUCUAUAAGCUGUUCACAGUGAGUUUGGAAUUCCAUAAAACUAGAAGACAAAGCACCAGAUUUUACUCAUUUAUCUUCUUUUUACAUCAGCUUUUUAGUGUCCAAGAGAUCAUCAUGUUUUUGGAAGGACACGAGGCAUGUAAUUUGGGUUUAGUUGAAGAAGUUUGUCAUUUUUGCACUGUACCUUAUAGCUGAAAUGUUCAGACUCUGGUCGUGGAACAGAAUUUACCAUGACGUUGGUCCAAUUAUCAAGUUUGAAAGAAAGGCCACCUCAUCAGAGAGAUCUUUCUAGAUUAUCCUCGAAAAUGUCUACUCUCUGCUAUCUAUCAUUCUCUAGCUCCCUCUUCAUAGUUCUUUCACACAGCUACCACCAUUCAUAGUUAUUUAAUUAUUUGACAUUUUGUUGGUUUGUUUUUCUGUCUACUUCACCUGAAUGUAAGCUCCUUAAUGUAAGCAGGGAUCAUACUUGUCCUGUGCCUAGUGGCCUUCCUCAUGCCUAGCACAGUGCCUGGAAUGACAUGUGUAUUAUUUGAAGGAAGCGCCAUUAUAAUUUAAACAUUUACAUUAAGAACCAUAUGUGUUAAUUACCCAACUCAUACUUUUUUAAACCUUGGUUGUAAGAUAAAAGAAACAAGUGACACUGUUUUUUCUUUCUUGCUAAAAAUAGACUGUUAUGCAUUCCUUCUAGAGGCCCCAUUGAAAGUACUUUCAACAUACACCUAGUUAAUCAGAAGUGACCCCAACUUUUUGGUAGUGACAGUGGUUACAGUGUCAGAACAGAAGUACAGAUGACUCUAAGAAAUUCACGAUGAGUCAGCUCUCUGGGACUCAUGGGCACUGGUGUACAGGCAUGACAAACUUUCCUGAUUCUGAAGGAAAUCUGUAACUUGGAAUCUGCUCAAUAAAAUAUUGCUCCACUGUAUGGGCUAACCUGGGGAUGUGUUUGUAUGGGUGUAUUUGUGUGAUUAAGAUUAUGUGAAGAGAGAUGAAAAGGUCACAAGCUGAGUGGCUUAAACAUAGAAAUUAUUUCUCACAUUUCUGGAGGCUAGAAGUUUGAUCAAGGUGUCUGCAAGUUUGGUUUCUUCUGAGAGCCGUGAGGGAAGGAUCUGUCCCAGGCUUCUCUCCUUGACUCUUAGAUGGUCUUCUGCCUUUGUCUUUACAUCUCCUUCCCUCUACAUGUCUCUGUGUUUAGAUUCCUCUUCUUACAAGGACACUGGUCAUAUUGAAUUAAGGCUCACCUGCAUGGCCUUAUUCCAACUGAAUUAUCUCUUUAAGGGCUGUUUCCAUAUACAGCCCCAUUCUGAGGUACUGGGGUUAGGACUUCAGUGUAUGGGUUUUGGGGAAAGCACAAGUCAGCCCAUGACAGCUGGUCUCCUGCAGAGUCAUCCCUCUUGAUAUUGUGGAACCAGGGCCACAGAGCAUCAAGGCCAUGGCCCCAUCAGCAUGAGGAGUUCAUCUAAGCAGGUGGAUCCGGGCUGAGACUCUAAGUCCUACGAGUUCACAGAGACAGGGUCUUCUCAAAACCCUGCUGAGUUUCCCAAAUCUGCUUGUCUGGUCCUUCCAAUUGGUUCCUCAAUGCACAUCCAGUUGCCCUAUAUCUUCGUCUGCACGGGUGGUGACUGGAUAUUCUGCUUAGCUCUUGACAACCUUCUUUCCUUUGGGUGGAGGCUCUCACCGGGGGGGUCAUCAGAAUCACUUCACCGUUCUUCACUUCUAGAGCUUCUUCCAUAAAGAGGAAAAAGAACAGGUAUAUUUCCAGUAAAACAAACAAAAAACAUCAAUUGAAUCUUACUUUAUCACCUCCCGAAGCAAUAAUAAAAUAAUAAUGAUAAUACCAUUUAUUGACUAUUCACUAAAUGCCAAGCAUAACUCUAACCAGGUAGAUAUCACUUCUAUCCCUGCUUCUCAGGUAAGAAAACUGAGUCUUAGAAUGCCAGAGCAGAUUAUUCACUAGUCACACAACUAGUGAAUGGUUGGCAUAGCACUUGAACUUGGUUAUGCCUGAAACUUGAGCAUACUUUGCUAUAUUGUUAGCUUUUCACUCCAAACUUACAUCUAUAACCAGUAGUCUCUUAACUCGGGUAGGCUGGUUUCUGGCCACCUUCCCCAUUUUGCCAGACCGUUUGGAAUCCCAGUAUGUCUUGAGGAAAAUCCUCAUGAUAGGACACAGCUGCUGGCUUCUGUGAAAGGUCCAGCCCUCAGCCUGCUGUCCCCCUUUACGUCCUCGCAUCUGCUUCGCUGUCUCUUGUCCCACUGUCUGUCCUUUCCAUUUUAAACAUCAUCUUCUAAAACACCGAUCAGAUUGUCAAGAGAACUAAAAUUUUCAUUGGCAAAAUAAUGAGUGUUUUGUGCUAUAAUCUAAAGUGCUCCCAGUAGUCAACUCUUAGGAAAAUCUGGCUCUUAAUGCAGACAUGGUAUUUGCAGCCCCAAAUCUGCCCAAUUACAGUACUGGUCAUAGAAAAACCUUUUUAAAAUCCACACCUCAUAAUAUGCUAUUGAGGGAAAAUGCUUCUUACCAAUUUUCAUAAAAUCUUGUCUUUUGCACAACAAUAAAAGGCAGU